RNAcentral lists this ribosomal RNA (253 nucleotides) under uncultured bacterium. RNAcentral describes it as "partial 16S ribosomal RNA". It matches the Rfam family "Bacterial small subunit ribosomal RNA", at positions 524 to 776 of the family's 1533-position model. The record is from RNAcentral.
GACGAACCACACAAACGUUAUUCGGAAUCACUGGGCUUAAAGGGUGCGUAGGCGGCUUUGUAAGUCAGUGGUGAAAUAUGGCAGCUUAACUGUCAAGGUGCCAUUGAUACUGCAGAGCUUGAGUACAGAUGAGGUAGGCGGAAUUGACGGUGUAGCGGUGAAAUGCUUAGAUAUCGUCAAGAACACCUAUAGCGAAGGCAGCUUACUAAGCUGUAACUGACGCUGAGGCACGAAAGUGUGGGGAUCAAACAGG